GGUGGCUCAGUGGUAGAAUACUUGCCUUGCAAGCAUGAGGCCCUGGGUUCGAUUCCCCAGGACCA
This 65-nucleotide transfer RNA is filed under the name Dipodomys ordii (Ord's kangaroo rat). It matches the Rfam family "tRNA". Rfam says of the family: Transfer RNA (tRNA) molecules are approximately 80 nucleotides in length. The record is from Rfam by way of RNAcentral. Lineage: Eukaryota; Metazoa; Chordata; Mammalia; Rodentia; Heteromyidae.